UACGAAGGGUGCUAGCGUUGUUCGGAAUUACUGGGCGUAAAGGGUGCGUAGGUUGUUUGGCAAGUUAGUGGUGAAAGCCCAGAGCUUAACUCUGGAAUUGCCAUUAAAACUGCCAGGCUAGAGAGUGUUAGAGGUGAGUGGAAUUUCUAGUGUAGGAGUGAAAUCCGUAGAUAUUAGAAGGAACAUCAAUGGCGAAGGCAGCUCACUGGGUCACAUCUGACACUGAGGCACGAAAGCGUGGGUAGCAAACAGG
RNAcentral lists this ribosomal RNA (253 nucleotides) under uncultured bacterium. RNAcentral's name for it is "partial 16S ribosomal RNA". It matches the Rfam family "Bacterial small subunit ribosomal RNA", at positions 524 to 776 of the family's 1533-position model. The record is from RNAcentral.